AUCAACCCAAACACUUCAAAGAAGACCCUCCUGCGUCGUUGUAUAUUGGUGUCCAGCGACCAUUUUUCACCUGAUGACUUGAUCCAGUGUGAAGGUUGUAUCUAUCUGACGCCUUUGGUCCGCGGCAUCGGCAGUGUAUGGGACAACAGACCGCUGGUGGAAGUGCUAACAAGACUGCAUUACCAAUCCAAGGCAACACACAAAGCAAAGAUGAUCUCGCUGUCGAGAUGCAUACAGAUUUUGAGGAGCCUGUGGUUGUUGGUCUUCCACAAUCCACCCCACUGAAGGAAAGAGGAUUGCAAGAGUGCCCUGCACUCACAGGUUCAGAGGGGUUUACUCAAAGCAGUGCAGUCUGUGGGUUGCCGAAAAGAUCUAUCUGCCCACCACACAGAACUUCUGCAGUGACCUACUACAGCUGGCAGCAGCGAGGCGAAUGGACACGUCAGUGAAAUACAAGCUUAGAUAAUCGCAUGUGCAUCUCUCUCAGCUCCCUCCGAACAUUGCUCCAUUUCCAAAACCCAAUAAAGGAGACUUGAUUGC
Molecule: long non-coding RNA, 540 nt
Organism: Siniperca chuatsi (mandarin fish)
Lineage: Eukaryota; Metazoa; Chordata; Actinopteri; Centrarchiformes; Sinipercidae
Exons: 3
Source: RefSeq, a predicted model, not a curated record